Alligator mississippiensis (American alligator) is the source of this 1890-nucleotide long non-coding RNA. RefSeq lists it as uncharacterized. The transcript has 3 exons. The record is from RefSeq and is a predicted model, not a curated record. NCBI's taxonomy places the organism in Eukaryota, Metazoa, Chordata, Crocodylia, Alligatoridae.
ACCGUCGCCCGCCUGUAGGAGCAGCUCACGAAGGAUGGAAGGGGGUGUGCGCAGGCGUAGUGCGCGAGGACCCCCCCCCCCUUCUCCGUCUCCCGCUCCUGUUCAACUGUGACGUCUCAGAAGUGCUCGCGACGGUUGGGGAGCCGCGUGUGCGCAGGCGCAGCGCGCGUGGUCACCUCUCCCCCACCUCAACGGCGGCGUGUCAACUGUCGCCCGCCUUGUGGGGUGUCGCGCGACGACCGUUGGUGGCAGGAUGGGCGGGCCCCCCCGCACGGACCCCGCGGGACACAGGCAGGGGAGGCCACUCGUAGCCCCUGGUGCUCAGUGCCCCAGGCUGCCCUGAACGCCUCCCAAGGUGGCCUUAGGUUUUUUGGGGCCCUGAGUCUUUUGGAGCCCCUUAGAGGCAUAAGUAGAAGAAGGAAGGAGUUUUUAAUAAGUUGAAGAAAUAAAGUUUUUUAACACUGAGCUAUGUUCUAGGGUCAUUGCAUCUUCCAUAUGGGCCCGUCUACAACACAAACGCCUCCCAGGACAUAAGCUGAUAGCCUGCGUGGGACCUGGGGCCCUCAAGGCCACGCUGUGAGGCGCGCAGAAGGGAUAACCCCAGAGUCUUCAAAUAGGAACUGGUUGCUGCGGUCUUCCUCCAGUCUUUGAGAAACUCCUCUAUUACCUUUCUGUAAACAAAAAGAAUAGUGAAUGCUAAGAGCUGGCACUUCCCAAGGUGCCCCCAGCCUUCCCAGGGUUGCCUCCAGUCUAGAAAGGUUGAGAUCCACUCACCCAGUGCACACCUAGUUUGGCUGCUGCAAAGGAAAUGCCUACGGGAGGCCCUGAGAUCCUUUCAAGGGUGCCGCAGGUUGCCACGCAGCACUAGUGGUGCUCGGUGUAAUGGCACAAUUCAUGUGACGGACGAGGAAUCUGCAGCAUCAAAAGCAUGUUGACCUGGGAUCUCUCCUGAGGUCUUUGCAAAGGAAGAAUUGCUCUAGUAGUUGUCUGCACUCAAAGAACGAGCGAAAGCUGAGAGCUGGCAUUUUCCAAGGGGGGCCUCAAAUCUAUCGAGGGGCACCUCAAAUCUCCUGAGGGGUGCCCCGAGGCUAAAAAGGUUAAGAGCCACUAGUUCGCAACCUCUCAACCACUAGUUCUCGAGCUUUGAGGCUAAAAAUGUUGAAAACACCUAGGAGACGUUUGUGUGAGCAAAUGGACAGCAGGCAGUGUAUUCUGGAUGAAACAGCAGCCUAUCUAGUCCUUUGAAAAGCACUAUGAAGCUUAACCCCUGGCAGUGAAGCAAUGGCUCCAAACAAGGGAGGUUGCACCAGUGCAAACUGGAGUAAAGAUGCCAGCAUUUGGUGCUUCAGAAAGAAACUUUAGGAUUUGGGUUAGCAAUGAGACAAAGUGGAGGAAUUACGUCAUUCUUUUGUCUCAAAGAUUGCCAGCAAGAAUCUCAAGCUUCAUCAGAAUAGUGUUGCUAAACACAUUCAAAAUACUGUACUGGUACAAACAGGUACAUAUGUAUUAACAACACUUACGGGAAAGAAGACCCCUGGAACGAGUCACCGGAGUGGUUCCCUUCACCCACUGGUACUGGAUUCACUGGCUGAUUGAGUCUCUCCAUUGGAUCACAUUCCUCACUGGGUCUUGCCAGGUUACUGGCCCAAGAGGGCUCACUCACCGGUGUGAUCUUCGCUGGACCUUCCAGGAUGCUCUACCACCACAAGCCUCACCUCUGGUAAGUUGAUUCCUUUCCACCACCUGUCCUCUCAGGUGGCUUGGGCGGUCACUGCACCUCCAUGCAGUCACACUUUCCUCUGGUCUAGGAUGGGGUUUUAAUUUCAUGGCUGUUUUUCUGAGCCAAUCAAUGCCACUUCUGGUCUGCCACAGCAGCUGCUACUAAUUAUA